This 72-nucleotide transfer RNA is filed under the name Synechococcus sp. CC9902. RNAcentral describes it as "tRNA-Val (GAC) (tRNA-Val-GAC-1-1)". It matches the Rfam family "tRNA". From Rfam's summary of the family: Transfer RNA (tRNA) molecules are approximately 80 nucleotides in length. Lineage: Bacteria; Bacillati; Cyanobacteriota; Cyanophyceae; Synechococcales; Synechococcaceae. The record is from RNAcentral. RNAcentral also lists the same sequence under 7 other names.
GGGCGAUUAGCUCAGGGGUAGAGCGCUACAUUGACAUUGUAGAAGUCACUGGUUCAAAUCCAGUAUCGCCCA